Molecule: ribosomal RNA, 403 nt
Filed under: Verrucomicrobiota bacterium
Lineage: Bacteria; Pseudomonadati; Verrucomicrobiota
Description: Verrucomicrobia bacterium partial 16S ribosomal RNA
Rfam family: Bacterial small subunit ribosomal RNA
Source: RNAcentral
UGGGGAAUAUUGCACAAUGGGCGCAAGCCUGAUGCAGCAACGCCGCGUGAACGAUGAAGGUCUUCGGAUCGUAAAGUUCUGUUGCAGGGGAAGAUAAUGACGGUACCCUGUGAGGAAGCCCCGGCUAACUACGUGCCAGCAGCCGCGGUAAUACGUAGGGGGCUAGCGUUAUCCGGAUUUACUGGGCGUAAAGGGUGCGUAGGUGGUCUUUCAAGUCGGUGGUUAAAGGCUACGGCUCAACCGUAGUUAGCCUCCGAAACUGGAAGACUUGAGUGCAGGAGAGGAAAGUGGAAUUCCCAGUGUAGCGGUGAAAUGCGUAGAUAUUAGGAGGAAUACCGGUGGCGAAGGCGACUUUCUGGACUUUUACUGACGCUCAGGUACGAAAGCGUGGGGAGCAAACAGG